UAAAAGUCCGUCUUUGGGUGUUGAUAGAGGUCCACCCCAUGCCAUUGAUUCAACUCUAACAAAUUCCUUAUAGAAUAGUUUGUUGGGUGGGAUUCAAAGUGCCUUGCAUCCCAUUGAGAAGGGAAUGUCAAAUAAGAUUUUUGAUCUGAGCUAAGUAGCUCAGGAUACUUUAAACACUAUUCCUCCCUCAUUUCUUCUUUUGUUAUCUUUUGGCAUCGUCCAGGUAAGUUUCAAAUGUUCCAUCUCAGUUUCGGGACGUUCUUAGCAUUUCCAAUCCUGUGAUCGUUCGCCGUUUGCAAAGUCCAUUUUUGCCUUGAAAACAUCUCUCGGUAUCAUAAGUAUUUAUGAUCGAUCCCUAACCUUGGCAAUCGAUCACACCUAUGUAUCAAAAAUUCCAAACUUCCAGAGUAUCGUUCGUCAACUUGACGAUCGAUCACCAAUCUUGACGAUCGAUCGCACUGGGACCUUUCAUCUUCUUUGAUCCUCCGUGAAUCUUUACAUUCGAUCACCAAUUCCAGCGAUCAAUCAUACUGGAAGCGGAAUUUCCUUCUUCAAAUCAUGACUAUUAAGCGAACGAUCGCAGUUGUACGAUCGGUCGCACUAUGACUGAUCAAAUUUUUAAAUUUUGGUUCCCACUCGUGCUUUGGCUGUUUAGGUCCCUAAACCCUAAUUUCUUUUUAUUUUUGCUUUUUAUUCUCCCCUUCUCCCCUUCUUUUCUUUUUCUCUCUCUCUCUUCCUCCCUGUCUUCUCCAUCUCUAUCUUCUCCUCACCGAAACCCCUCUCCUUACAAACCCUUAACCUAGCCGCACCUCAUCCCUCUCAUCUUCUUAAUCUCUCAUCUCCCCAUCGGAGACCCAUUUGACCUGCAGCCAAAGCCAUCUCAGGCCUUCGCCGCCGUCGCUGCAACUCCGGCGAAGCUUCCUUCUUUCUCCGGCGAGCUCUUGGCCUAACGGCCUAGCCUCUCGCGGUUUUCUCUCUCCAGUCUCGGGGUUCUCUCUACUCCUCUUUCUCUGGCCGAUCUACGACAUGGAGAACUGCCGGUGUCUUCUGCAAUUUCCGGCAGAUCUUCUUCAUCAUCUCCGGCCACUGUUAGGCCAGAAAUUAUCCCAAAUUUCCCAAAGUCUCAUCUCUUUUGAUCAUCUUCUCAUCUCGGCAUGUAAGGGCUUGAGAUCAAAGUGGCAUCUUUGGCUUCGCCGGUCAUUGUUUUGAUACAAAAAGGAUGCAGCGGCAAAAGACACUAGCUAGGAAGAAAGUAACCCGGCCUCCACAGCCUCUCCAUCUCUAGAGGAGGAGUCUUUUUCAUUUGAGUUUGUGGCGACUGUAUCAUCUUCUUCUACAUCUUCUUCCAGUGCACCAUCUAUGGAUCUGGAGGGCCCCAUUAUCAGAGCAGUGCCUGAUCCAUAUUUUUCUGAGAGAGAUCAGGAGCUGGAGUAUACUUUUGAAACAAAUUUCUUUGCCCAGUCUGAGCAGACUAAGUGGGCCUAUGAUGAGAUCACCUAGCGCGGCAUUGCUGCCAUUCUUACACUAUUUAACGGCAAGGUGUAUCCCCGGUUGGUUGCAUUAUUCUACCAGCACCUCUGGCAGGAUGAGGAUGACCCUCAGAUCUUUCACACUAGUGUGGAUGGGCGGGAUAUUAUCAUUUCUACAGUCUCCAUAGUGAUAACCUGCGGAUUCCUCCACAUGUCUGCAGUGGUCACAGAGACAAAGUAGCCUUUGUAUCCAAUUAUUCUAGAGUAUCCUUCAUAUCUGGAUAUGGUUGCAUCUCUAUCUCCUCAGACAGCCUAUUUAGGUAACACCUAUGGCGAGCGGGUUGAUAUCCCAUCCCGGCUUUGGUUCAUUGAUACGGUGUUAUUUCGCAAUGCCUUUCCAUCUGGGCAUAAUACUCAGAGGUGGGAGGGGUUUUUAAAGGCCCUGUACAGUUUUAAUAUGGGAUGUUCGGUGUCGAUUCGUUCACUUAUCUGGUAAAUCUUCCAUAAGUACUGAGAGAACUUGGUGUUCAAAUAGAAUGAAAAAGCAAAGUCCUGGUCUCUCCCUUUUUGGCCGCUUGAUUAUACAUAUUCUGGCAGACUAGGGCUUCCCAUUUGACCCAACAGAGAAGCCAGAGGAGUCUAACAAGAAGUAUAGCGAGACCAAGUGGAAGAAGAGUUAUAAUGCAUGUCAGGCCAAUCUGAGAAGGGCUGUGAUGAAGAGGCUUGGGACUUUAGAUUCACAGGAGGGAUCUCCUACUUCUUCUGCUCCCAAGUCGAGAUAACGCACCAUUUUCGGCACAUCCCAGCCUCCCACCACAUCUCAGUUUCAGACGGGCACUUCAUCAGCUCCACCUCCACCUCUAGCAACUCAGACAGGCCCAUCCCUCAGCAUGCUAGCUCUGAUUCCAGUCUCUGAGGCAAUGUUACUCAGCUCCAGUCUGAGUUCAGAUCAUUCGAUACCCGGAUGGUAUAGAGAGUUGCCGAUCUUGAAAGAGGUAUCAUCGAUUCGAGGAGGGAUAUUGCACUGCUCAGGAGUGAUUUUGCCCAGAUCCGUACCGAGAUGACCAGUUUCCGCGGCAAGGUCACAGACAUGUUUCAGCACAUCAUCGAUCUGCUUGAGCCACUACCAGAUGUUAUUCCAUGACUCUACACUCUCUCUCUCACUCAUUUACUUGCUUUGAUACUAUUUGAUACUUGAUGAUUUUUGGGGAUUUAUACUAUUGUUAUAUGCUGCCUGGUUUUGGAUAUUUAGGCCUUGGAUAUUUUUGAUUCGAUAUAUGCAUGAUAUACUUUGAUA
Molecule: long non-coding RNA, 2766 nt
Organism: Cornus florida
Lineage: Eukaryota; Viridiplantae; Streptophyta; Magnoliopsida; Cornales; Cornaceae
Exons: 3
Source: RefSeq, a predicted model, not a curated record